RNAcentral lists this ribosomal RNA (597 nucleotides) under uncultured Bacillus sp. RNAcentral's name for it is "bacterial SSU rRNA". It matches the Rfam family "Bacterial small subunit ribosomal RNA", at positions 261 to 849 of the family's 1533-position model. The record is from RNAcentral. Lineage: Bacteria; Bacillati; Bacillota; Bacilli; Caryophanales; Bacillaceae.
CGGCUCACCAAGGCAACGAUGCGUAGCCGACCUGAGAGGGUGAUCGGCCACACUGGGACUGAGACACGGCCCAGACUCCUACGGGAGGCAGCAGUAGGGAAUCUUCCGCAAUGGACGAAAGUCUGACGGAGCAACGCCGCGUGAGUGAUGAAGGUUUUCGGAUCGUAAAGCUCUGUUGUUAGGGAAGAACAAGUACCGUUCGAAUAGGGCGGUACCUUGACGGUACCUAACCAGAAAGCCACGGCUAACUACGUGCCAGCAGCCGCGGUAAUACGUAGGUGGCAAGCGUUGUCCGGAAUUAUUGGGCGUAAAGGGCUCGCAGGCGGUUUCUUAAGUCUGAUGUGAAAGCCCCCGGCUCAACCGGGGAGGGUCAUUGGAAACUGGGGAACUUGAGUGCAGAAGAGGAGAGUGGAAUUCCACGUGUAGCGGUGAAUGCGUAGAGAUGUGGAGGAACACCAGUGGCGAAGGCGACUCUCUGGGUCUGUAACUGACGCUGAGGAGCGAAAGCGUGGGGAGCGAACAGGAUUAGAUACCCUGGUAGUCCACGCCGUAAACGAUGAGUGCUAAGUGUUAGGGGUUUCCGCCCCUUAGUGCUGC